AGAGCCGCGGUAUUUUGACCGUGCGAAGGUAGCAUAAUAAUUAGUUUUUUUAUUGAGAACUGGUAUGAAUGGUUGGACGAGAAAAAAUCUGUCUCUUUUUGAAUUUUUGAAUUUUACUUUUUAGUUAAAAGGCUAAAAUUUUUUUAAAAGACGAGAAGACCCUAUAGAGUUUUAUUUAUUUAAUAUUAUAAGUAUUUGGAAUGUGUUAUUUUAAUAUUAUAUUAAAUUUAGUUGGG
RNAcentral lists this ribosomal RNA (236 nucleotides) under Megatoma sp. der138. RNAcentral's name for it is "partial 16S ribosomal RNA". The record is from RNAcentral. Lineage: Eukaryota; Metazoa; Arthropoda; Insecta; Coleoptera; Dermestidae.